RNAcentral lists this ribosomal RNA (498 nucleotides) under uncultured bacterium. Its description in RNAcentral is "partial 16S ribosomal RNA". It matches the Rfam family "Bacterial small subunit ribosomal RNA", at positions 29 to 523 of the family's 1533-position model. The record is from RNAcentral.
AUUGAACGCUGGCGGCAUGCCUUACACAUGCAAGUCGAACGGUAACAGGUCUUCGGAUGCUGACGAGUGGCGAACGGGGGAGUAAUGCAUCGGAACGUGCCCAGUAGUGGGGGAUAGCCCGGCGAAAGCCGGAUUAAUACCGCAUACGACCUGAGGGUGAAAGGGGGGGAUCGCAAGACCUCUCGCUAUUGGAGCGGCCGAGGGCAGAUUAGCUAGUUGGUGGGGUAAAGGCCUACCAAGGCAACGAUCUGUAGUUGGUCUGAGAGGACGACCAGCCACACUGGGACUGAGACACGGCCCAGACUCCUACGGGAGGCAGCAGUGGGGAAUUUUGGACAAUGGGCGCAAGCCUGAUCCAGCAAUGCCGCGUGCAGGAAGAAGGCCUUCGGGUUGUAAACUGCUUUUGUCAGGGAAGAAAUCUUCUGGGUUAAUACCUCGGGAGGAUGACGGUACCUGAAGAAUAAGCACCGGCUAACUACGUGCCAGCCGCCGCCGUAA